This is a long non-coding RNA of Apodemus sylvaticus (European woodmouse), 1187 nucleotides long. RefSeq lists it as uncharacterized. The transcript is spliced from 3 exons. The record is from RefSeq and is a predicted model, not a curated record. Lineage: Eukaryota; Metazoa; Chordata; Mammalia; Rodentia; Muridae.
GCUUUAUCUCCCCAGCUGGGCCUAGUACAGGACUCUUCAGGAACAGGGUUGUGCUUUCAGGCAGGAUAGUAGUGAGCUGAUGAAAGUAAGAGUUCUGAAAUGUGAGAGAGCCCUGGGAUUCAUUUGCAUGUUUCAUUUUCCCUAAAGUUUUCACAGUUCUGCAAAGGAUGAAUCACUAGCUCCAUUUUUAAAGACAAGAAGAUAAAGACUUCCAGUUGCCAACAAAGCUACAAUGGACCUCAUUGCUGACAUGAAAAAUGCCCUCAAUGUGUGACUGAAGCAAACUCAUGGCAGUGCUUCAAAAUGCUUGUGUGGAGGGUUGAGAAAAAUCCCCCCACCUCCCUGUACAAUUCCAAUAAGUGCUGUACUUUCAGUUCUAACCUUAUUCUUUACACUCUGUGCAUAGUUGUCAUUACUGGGGAUUUAGUGGCAUCUGACUCCUACUCAAUUCAGCAGUUCUUCAGCCCUUGACUGGUGAAUAGACAAGCUUAUAAUAGAAAAGCUGCCUCUUCAGAGAAAGUGGCUCAGCAGGAUGUAAGAGGCCCAGGGAGAGAAGCCCUCUCCUUUCAGGAGAAUGUUACUCAAGGUGACCUCUUGCUUCAGUCCUCAGACAAUCUCUGAAAGAAAGUGAAGUUGAAAACAACAGGAGGGUUAGAAAGAAGUGGCCAGAGGGAUGACCCACACUGGUGCUGUCUCUCCUGGCUUUUUCCUUCCAGGUGGGCUUGUACAGCUGCCUCUUGGUCUCUAAAGUUCAUUUUAAAACACAUUAGUCAAUUGAAUAGACUCAGAUUCUAUCUGAUUUUGUAUUUCAGUGAUUUGAAAGGUGGCAUGAGAAAGGCUACUGUGGAGCUUCUUUUCUUUGAAGGUUCAAUAGAAGAGAAGAUACCAUUCUUUUAGGUUUGCUACUCAUUUUAUUAAACCUUAAAGUACCCUUGAGAGUAUGACAGAGGUCACAUUUGGUUAUUUUCACUUACAGGCUGGAAGCAGAGUCAACCUCAGGAAGGUGUUAAAUGCUACACAAGAUACAAUUAGAAUAUUUACUAUAUGACAUAGGCCUCUAUCCCAGCUAUCAUACACUAAACUGAAUGUCUCAAAGAAUUAUCCAAAUGUUCCAAAAUAUGAUUUCUUUUGUAAGAAAGUGAGUUUAUUAGAAAAAUAUGUAUGUGUCAUUAUCUAUACUAAAUGUA